GAUGAACGCUGGCGGCGUGCCUAAUACAUGCAAGUCGGGCGAACGGACGAGAAGCUUGCUUCUCUGAUGUUAGCGGCGGACGGGUGAGUAACACGUGGAUAACCUACCUAUAAGACUGGGAUAACUUCGGGAAACCGGAGCUAAUACCGGAUGAUAUUUUGAACCGCAUGGUUCAAAAGUGAAAGACGGUCUUGCUGUCACUUAUAGAUGGAUCCGCGCUGCAUUAGCUAGUUGGUAAGGUAACGGCUUACCAAGGCAACGAUGCAUAGCCGACCUGAGAGGGUGAUCGGCCACACUGGAACUGAGACACGGUCCAGACUCCUACGGGAGGCAGCGGUAGGGAAUCUUCCGCAAUGGGGGAAAGCCUGACGGAGCAACGCCGCGUGAGUGAUGAAGGUCUUCGGAUCGUAAAACUCUGUUAUUAGGGAAGAACAGAUGUGUAAGUAACUGUGCACAUCGUGACGGUACCUAAUCAGAAAGCCACGGCUAACUACGUG
Molecule: ribosomal RNA, 497 nt
Filed under: uncultured bacterium
Lineage: Bacteria
Description: partial 16S ribosomal RNA
Rfam family: Bacterial small subunit ribosomal RNA
Source: RNAcentral